Molecule: long non-coding RNA, 368 nt
Filed under: Gopherus agassizii (Agassiz's desert tortoise)
Lineage: Eukaryota; Metazoa; Chordata; Testudines; Testudinidae
Description: lncRNA (ENSGAGG00000004329.1)
Source: RNAcentral
CCCCGGCGGGGAAUCGCUCCUCCCUUCUCUCUCCAUGUUCUCUGUGUCCCCCUAGCAGCCCCGGCUCUGCCGCCUGCUCCGCUCGGGCUCCCGCAGCCCGGCUUCUCCAGCCAGAAGCAGGGGGGAACCCAGGCGUCCGGGGCUGGCUCCUUGCACCAGAACCACCUGCCGGUGCUGAUCCUCCUGGUGCCCAUCCUGGUGUCUCUGGCCUUCGUGUGGCAGCGUCAGAGGAGGCUCCGUGGCCAGGGGACCCAGGAGUCCGAGUGGUCGGACACCUGAACGAGCGGGGUGCAGGAGCUGAUAGGAGAGAGAUGGCUCAGGUAUAACCCCCUCUCCCCCAACACGUGGGGUGCAGGCUCUUUUCUGGG